This 322-nucleotide ribosomal RNA is filed under the name uncultured eukaryote. RNAcentral describes it as "partial 18S ribosomal RNA". It matches the Rfam family "Eukaryotic small subunit ribosomal RNA", at positions 1470 to 1796 of the family's 1831-position model. The record is from RNAcentral.
CCCUUAGAUGUUCUGGGCCGCACGCGUGCUACACUGAGUGGAUCAGCGGGUCAGGUUGCGCGAAAGCGUUUCCUAAUCUUUAAAUCCGCUCGUGAUGGGGAUUGACGGUUGCAAUUUUCUGUCAUGAACGAGGGAUACCUUGUAAGCGCGGGUCAUCAUCCCGCGCUGAAUACGUCCCUGCCCUUUGUACACACCGCCCGUCGCUCCUACCGAUUGAGCGGUCCGGUGAGGCUUUGGGAUCUGAGCGGAAAGAGCGUUUCGCUGUUUCUGCUCGGAAAACUCAGUCGAACCUUAUCAUUUAGAGGAAGGAGAAGUCGUAACA